This 844-nucleotide ribosomal RNA is filed under the name Staphylococcus sp. KSUM_42. Its description in RNAcentral is "bacterial SSU rRNA". It matches the Rfam family "Bacterial small subunit ribosomal RNA", at positions 26 to 851 of the family's 1533-position model. Lineage: Bacteria; Bacillati; Bacillota; Bacilli; Caryophanales; Staphylococcaceae. The record is from RNAcentral.
AGGAUGAACGCUGGCGGCGUGCCUAAUACAUGCAAGUCGAGCGAACAGACGAGGAGCUUGCUCCUUUGACGUUAGCGGCGGACGGGUGAGUAACACGUGGGUAACCUACCUAUAAGACUGGGAUAACUUCGGGAAACCGGAGCUAAUACCGGAUAAUAUUUCGAACCGCAUGCUUCGAUAGUGAAAGAUGGCUCUGCUAUCACUUAUAGAUGGACCUGCGCCGUAUUAGCUAGUUGGUAAGGUAACGGCUUACCAAGGCAACGAUACGUAGCCGACCUGAGAGGGUGAUCGGCCACACUGGAACUGAGACACAGCAAACACUAAUACGGGAGGCAGCAGUAGGGAAUCUUCCGCAAUGGGCGAAAGCCUGACGGAGCAACGCCGCGUGAGUGAUGAAGGUCUUCGGAUCGUAAAACUCUGUUAUUAGGGAAGAACAAACGUGUAAGUAACUGUGCACGUCUUGACGGUACCUAAUCAGAAAGCCACGGCUAACUACGUGCCAGCAGCCGCGGUAAUACGUAGGUGGCAAGCGUUAUCCGGAAUUAUUGGGCGUAAAGCGCGCGUAGGCGGUUUUUUAAGUCUGAUGUGAAAGCCCACGGCUCAACCGUGGAGGGUCAUUGGAAACUGGAAAACUUGAGUGCAGAAGAGGAAAGUGGAAUUCCAUGUGUAGCGGUGAAAUGCGCAGAGAUAUGGAGGAACACCAGUGGCGAAGGCGACUUUCUGGUCUGUAACUGACGCUGAUGUGCGAAAGCGUGGGGAUCAAACAGGAUUAGAUACCCUGGUAGUCCACGCCGUAAACGAUGAGUGCUAAGUGUUAGGGGGUUUCCGCCCCUUAGUGCUGCAG